RNAcentral lists this ribosomal RNA (253 nucleotides) under uncultured bacterium. Its description in RNAcentral is "partial 16S ribosomal RNA". It matches the Rfam family "Bacterial small subunit ribosomal RNA", at positions 524 to 776 of the family's 1533-position model. The record is from RNAcentral.
UACGUAGGGUGCGAGCGUUGUCCGGAAUUAUUGGGCGUAAAGGGCUCGUAGGCGGUCUGUUGCGUCAGGAGUGAAAACUCGGGGCUUAACCCCGAGCCUGCUUCUGAUACGGGCAGACUAGAGGUAUGCAGGGGAGAACGGAAUUCCUGGUGUAGCGGUGAAAUGCGCAGAUAUCAGGAGGAACACCGAUUGCGAAGGCAGCUCGCUGGGACGUUACUGACGCUGAGACGCGAAAGCUAGGGGAGCAAACGGG